This 725-nucleotide ribosomal RNA is filed under the name uncultured bacterium. RNAcentral describes it as "bacterial SSU rRNA". It matches the Rfam family "Bacterial small subunit ribosomal RNA", at positions 771 to 1501 of the family's 1533-position model. The record is from RNAcentral.
AACAGGAUUAGAUACCCUGGUAGUCCACGCCCUAAACGAUGUCUACUAGUUGUUGGGUCUUAAUUGACUUAGUAACGCAGCUAACGCGUGAAGUAGACCGCCUGGGGAGUACGGUCGCAAGAUUAAAACUCAAAGGAAUUGACGGGGACCCGCACAAGCGGUGGAUGAUGUGGAUUAAUUCGAUGCAACGCGAAAAACCUUACCUACCCUUGACAUGUCAGGAAUCCUCGAGAGAUCGGGGAGUGCCCGAAAGGGAACCUGAACACAGGUGCUGCAUGGCUGUCGUCAGCUCGUGUCGUGAGAUGUUGGGUUAAGUCCCGCAACGAGCGCAACCCUUGUCAUUAGUUGCUACGAAAGAGCACUCUAAUGAGACUGCCGGUGACAAACCGGAGGAAGGUGGGGAUGACGUCAAGUCCUCAUGGCCCUUAUGGGUAGGGCUUCACACGUCAUACAAUGGUACAUACAGAGGGCCGCCAACCCGCGAGGGGGAGCUAAUCCCAGAAAGUGUAUCGUAGUCCGGAUUGUAGUCUGCAACUCGACUGCAUGAAGUUGGAAUCGCUAGUAAUCGCGGAUCAGCAUGUCGCGGUGAAUACGUUCCCGGGUCUUGUACACACCGCCCGUCACACCAUGGGAGCGGGUUUUACCAGAAGUAGGUAGCUUAACCGCAAGGAGGGCGCUUACCACGGUAGGAUUCGUGACUGGGGUGAAGUCGUAACAAGGUAACC